RNAcentral lists this ribosomal RNA (422 nucleotides) under uncultured bacterium. RNAcentral's name for it is "partial 16S ribosomal RNA". It matches the Rfam family "Bacterial small subunit ribosomal RNA", at positions 360 to 774 of the family's 1533-position model. The record is from RNAcentral.
AAUAUUGGACAAUGGGGGUAACCCUGAUCCAGCCAUGCCGCGUGUGUGAAUAAGGUCUUCGGAUUGUAAAGCACUUUAAGUAGGGAGGAAGGGCCUUAGGUUAAUACACUGAAGUUUUGACGUUACCAACAGAAUAAGAAUCGGCUAACUCUGUGCGAGCAACCGGGGUAAGACAUAGGGUGCAAGCUUUAAACGGAAUUACUGGGCGUAAAGCGAGGUUAGGGUGUUCAGUAAGUGGGGUGUUAAGUCCCCGGGCUUAACCUGGGAACGGCUUUCAUAACUGCUGAGCUAGAAUACGGUAGAGGGUAUUGGAAUUUCCUGUGUAGCGGUGAAAUGCGUAGAUAUAGGAAGGAACACCAGUGGCGAAGGCGACUACCUGGACUGAUACUGACACUGAGGUGCGAAAGCGUGGGGAGCAAACA